CUGGAGUGGAUGGCCAUUCCCUUCUCCAGGGAGUCUUCCUGACCUCAGGAUUGAACCAUGUUUCCCACAUUGCAGACAGAUUCUUUCCAUCUGAGCCAGCAGGGAAGCCUGCAAACAUCCUGAAUGAAAGGGGCAUCACAAUUGAAUCUGUUAGGAUACCUUGGGUAGCAAGAUACAGAAAAUCAAGUAAAUUGACUCUAAGAAAAUAAGGAAACUAACUGAUUCAUAUGACCAAAAAAAUCAAAUUCUAUCAUGCACUUCUUAUCUUUAGGGACCUGGGAGCUUCACGGGAUUAGAGCCAAAUGCGUGCAUAUCUCAGUGGAGACUUUACACUGCAAAUCCCUUCUGCUACUGGAAGGACUCAAAGAUUAUAAUCUUCCUUUAUUGCUGCCUCCCCCUAAGUAUUUAAUAUAUAACCCAGUGAUCAGAAAGGUUGCUAAUGAAAUAUGGCAGAAGCUGCCUCGGGCCUGCUUCUCAUCUGGAACAUGCUGGAUUGCAGCCUCUUAUUUAUCCUGAUGAAUUGACAGUGGGACUCUAGAGACUUAGUUCAAUUUCCUGCCUUAGACAGGCACUGUGAAUAUUAACCCCACCCUGAAAUAUUUUCCCCUAAAGAUGGUACACGUUAUGGCUUUCUAGGAUAAACAUAGCAUUCUCCCACCUAUUCAGGUGUUUGUGUUUGUUUUUAAUUUUGCAAUAAAG
RNAcentral lists this long non-coding RNA (699 nucleotides) under Capra hircus (goat). RNAcentral's name for it is "lncRNA (ENSCHIG00000000837.1)". Lineage: Eukaryota; Metazoa; Chordata; Mammalia; Artiodactyla; Bovidae. The record is from RNAcentral.